RNAcentral lists this transfer RNA (69 nucleotides) under Marmota marmota marmota (Alpine marmot). It matches the Rfam family "tRNA". From Rfam's summary of the family: Transfer RNA (tRNA) molecules are approximately 80 nucleotides in length. Lineage: Eukaryota; Metazoa; Chordata; Mammalia; Rodentia; Sciuridae. RNAcentral also lists the same sequence under 1 other name. The record is from Rfam by way of RNAcentral.
GGAGUUGUGGCUCAGUGGUAGAGCGCUCGCCUAGCAAGUGUGAGGCCCUGAGUUCGAACCUCAGCACCA